Long non-coding RNA from Clupea harengus (Atlantic herring), 2559 nucleotides. Lineage: Eukaryota; Metazoa; Chordata; Actinopteri; Clupeiformes; Clupeidae. The record is from Ensembl.
CCACACAGAGAAGUGAUUGACUGUCUCUCUAUAGAAAUGUCAUGACUUUCACUUUCGGUUGCCGGAGCUACGUGGCCCUAGCCUGGUAUGAGCAGACCCAAAUUCACUCCACUGGGGAUUGUUUAUAUCCGCUGCAUCCUAAUAGGUGUUAACUUCGGGUUAAUUGUGAAACCAUUGGAUAGGCCGUUACCAUUCGGCAUCGACCGCUGUGUGAUUGCUAACGGUGCACUAACGGUGCAAACUUAUAUAUGAGCCUUUUCCCAAACCCUAUUGGCAGUAAGGAAACUUGUCGUCGCCCAUGAUGAAUACAUUUACUCCUGCUUCAAUUCUUCAGUGUUAGCUAGUGUUGCUACUACUGUUUUAAUCGCUUCGUCUGACACUGCCACCAUUGGUGUUACUACAUGUUGAGACAAAUGCUUCACUUCAAUGGCACUUAGCCCCACCUACUCGUCGCUGAUUGGUCCACCCUUCAGAGUGGCUGAGCGAAUCAUCUUGUAAAUAGGGUUUCCAGACUGUAAUAUCAGCGAAAACUGAUCAGCGAGCAGUAGGCGGUCAGAGCCAGGGUAAUGUUCCCUGGGGGCGAGAUAGUGGUAGACCCCUACCCACACACACACACACAAACCCCUACCCAUACACACACACAAACAGUGCAAGAGUGCUUCUGCUGUCAUCUCUUUCUCACAUAUGUCUAUCUCUCUCUGUCUGUCACACACACACACACACACACACACACACACACACACACACACACACACACACACACACACACACACUGUCUCUCUCUCUCUCUCUCUCUUUCAAACACACACAGACACUCUCUCUCUCUGUCUGUCUUAUCAACACACACACACACACUAUAUAUACCCCCACUCACACACAUGUCUUUGUCUGGGUUUCAACCCCUGCCCUCUCCAUCUUUCUCUCUCUCACUCUAACUCAAACAAUCAUUAUUUCCUCACCUCCUCAUGUCUCCAUCUUCUCUUCUAUGCUCACUCACUCUCUCCUUCUGUCUCUCUCUCUUUCCAUUCUCUGAUUAGCUGCCCUGCUCUUUUGGCAUCCAGUGUGUGUGUGUGUGUGUGUGUGUGUGUGUGUGUGUGUGUGUGUGUGUGUGUGUGUGUGUGUGUGUGUGUGUGUGUGUGUGUGUGUCUGUCUGUCUGUCUGUCUGUCUGUCUGUCUGUCUGUGUCUGUCUGUGUGUGUCUGUGUGUGUGUGUGUGUGUGUGUGUGUGUGUGUGUGUGUGUCUGUGUGUGUGUGUGUGUGUGUGUGUGUGUGUGUGUGUGUGUGUGUGUGUGUGCCCUCCCUUCUACGGCAUGUCAUAAUGCUGUGAUUUCCAUAUCCAUCUCCGUGCCCUGGAGGGCUGUAGCAUGGAGAAUAUCUUGGUAGCAGAUCCUCCCCAUCACCCACAGAUUAUGUCCAUGAGGACCGCAAGAAAUGUAAAAGCUUGAAAAUGACCAAAGGGUCAGGCACAAAUUAUUAAUUUCGAUCAGAACGGAUUUAUAGUAUAAAAUAAACUAUAUGUUAUCUCAUUGAUAUCGUUUGUAUUGAGCUAAAUUGCAAAAACAACAAUAAAAUAGUUAAUUUGGAAUAUUUUCAAAGAAUUUGGGCAACUCUGUAGCUCAUGUCACUACUAAGCUAUUAAGCCGUCAUAGCAUCACACUGUUAUGCUCUAUUAUUCAAUACAAGGGGCUUAUCUGAAGACAGACAUUUCUUCAUCUUUCUGAUGUUUAUCUUCAUGCUCCUUCCAUCUUCAUGGUCUUUUCUUCUUUCCCAAAGAUGGUGUAACACUAACUAAGCUGAACCGGGCAGAGUAAUCUCCUCUACCCAAAGGCAGCUCUCAGGUGCGUGGGUCGUGUGUUUGUUUGCUCUGCUGAUGUCUGCUGAUAUGAGACACAAAGUGACAAUCUUGACUUUGAAAUUAAUUCAAACUGAUCUGCACUUGUCAAUAGAAACUCAUAGCAUUAUGUUAUUGGCCCUGGCAAACAUACAUAGACAACCUCAAAACUGUGACUCAUACAGCAAAGUGACACUCAUUACCUUUAUUCUACCAACAUGGUGAGAAAUAAGGGGGAUGUGUUUACACCCUGGUGUCACGUCCAAGACAUCCCCAAAAAUAUUUUCUUCCAUCAUCAUUCAAGUGGCAUCAGCAUAGCACUGAAGCACAUGGAGCUAGUGAACUCCAGUAGCUAAUAACUAAUGCCGUACUUGUAGAAAAUGUAUCAAGCAUAGAGGCACAGUACUCAGUCUGGGCUACUCUGCACUCAUCUGCAGUCUCUCUGUGCUGAUAGCCCACUGGUGCUUAUCGUCUAGGACAGCUCUGUGUGUGUGUGUGUGUGUGUGUGACUUUUUUCUCUGUUGUCUUGGUAUCAGACAGCUGUGAAACCCUGGGUACAUAUGGAAUCGUCAGAAACAGAGGAGUGACUCAUUCUAUGAGUCAUCCCAUAGACGAUUCUAAUUCUUCUUCUUAUUGUCCUAUCUGUGAACCUGGAAGUGAGUGCAGCUGUUUAGGAUGAUUCAGCGAUGAGUGAAGUCAUCAGCAAUAAGCAGAUAGAGCACACUGCAC